CCCUUAGAUGUUCUGGGCCGCACGCGCGCUACACUGACGAUGGCAACGAGUUUUUCCUUCGCCGAAAGGUGUGGGUAAUCUUUUGAAACAUCGUCGUGCUGGGGAUAGAUCAUUGCAAUUUUUGAUCUUGAACGAGGAAUUCCUAGUAAGCGCGAGUCAUCAGCUCGCGUUGAUUACGUCCCUGCCCUUUGUACACACCGCCCGUCGCUACUACCGAUUGAAUGGUUUAGUGAGGACUCCUGAUUGGCGCCGCCGCCCCGGCAACGGAGCAGCGGACUGCCGAAAAGUUGUGCAAACUUGAUCAUUUAGAGGAAGUAAAAGUCGUAACA
Molecule: ribosomal RNA, 329 nt
Filed under: uncultured eukaryote
Lineage: Eukaryota
Description: partial 18S ribosomal RNA
Rfam family: Eukaryotic small subunit ribosomal RNA
Source: RNAcentral